Rosa rugosa (rugosa rose) is the source of this 2101-nucleotide long non-coding RNA. RefSeq lists it as uncharacterized. The record is from RefSeq and is a predicted model, not a curated record. The transcript is spliced from 10 exons. NCBI's taxonomy places the organism in Eukaryota, Viridiplantae, Streptophyta, Magnoliopsida, Rosales, Rosaceae.
UUAUACAAUGGUUGAUUUUUGCUGUUGUCUGAUUAUUUUCAGUCACACAACUGUUAUUAGGUGUCUGUUGUCUGAUAUCUUUUAAGUCAAUAUCUGCUGAAAGAUGUUGUCUGAUUUGAGUGGUUCACACAAUGCUUUUUAACUUGUCUGUUGUCACAUGAGUUUCAGACAAUGCACCUUAUAUUUGAUGUCGUCUGAGUUUUAAAAUUUUUUUUUUCCUAUACAAUGGCUGACUUUUAGCUAGGGUUGAUAUAUUGCUUUAACACUUGGACAAAAAUCAAAAAUUUAACUUUUUCCCUCUCCAUUCGACCAAAACACCCGAGCUCCCGCUUCUCUCUCUCAAAAUCACUUUCGAUCUCACCAACCCUCAGUACUCUCAGCCAUCUCUCUCUCUCUCUCUCUCUCUCUCUCUCUCUCUCUCUCUCUCUCUCUCUCCCAGUGACCAGUGACCGCCAAUCGACCACCACAGUGACGGCCUCCGUUCGAUUCUCUUCCUCCUCCGCCUCGGAACAUAAAAGAUUAAAUCCUGCGAUUUCCUCCACCUCGAGAACGAUCAAACAGCUUCAUCUUCACCGCCAUUCCUCUCUCUUCUCUUUGAAUUUUGCAAUUUUUGAUUGCAUAUUUCUUUCAUUUUCGAUUAAUCGCAGAUUUUCAUCAUCUAUUUUUGUUUUCUCUGUGCCUCCUUCUCAUAUUACUGUGCGAAUUUGUGGGUUCAGGUACUAUGGAUUCAUCAAGAAAAGCCAAGUCCCAGUACCCAAUUCAAGAUCCACUCUUUCCAAGACAGCAUAGUCGAGAAAAUUAAUAGAAUUUAUAGUCUUGUUUCUUACUGGAGGGCCAGUUGGGGCAUUGAUUGUUGCUCCUACGAGGAUGAAGCAGCCUGCCAUUGUAUUGAUGAUCUGGAAAAAAUGAAAAGAAUUUAUCAUUGUGCAGUGGAGGGGAAUGCUCUUAAGGCAAUUGAACUGAUAGAACAGCUGGCGAAUGACUUACGGGAGAAAAAUAAAGACUUGCAUUUUGAUCUUCUCAGCCUUCACUUUGUUGAACUUGUUUGCUCUAGAAAUAAAGGGAGCACAGAUCAGCAUGCGUGAGUUUUCAAUUUACUUUAUUAAGUUUAUCUAUAUCUUGAUGUAUCUUGUGCAGAUACAUCCAACAACUGAGAGAUGCAUGGCGUACACAAUUUCUUUGUGACAUUCAUUGAAGUACUACAAGAUAGGCCUCCUAGUCACAUGUGGUGACUACCUAUUUGAAUGCUACAGGGAACACGAUCGGCUCUUUAUUCUAAUGACCGAGAGUCGAUUACGGUUUCUGUGGAAGAAGUGACACCUAGAUCUGUAGGUGCUCUUAUAGCACUUUAUGAGAGAGCGGUUGGGAUUUAUGCCUCACUUGUCAACAUUAAUGCUUACCAUCAACCUGGAUGAGUUGCUGCAAAUGGUGCCACCUAAAAACUUAACACUAUCUUUCUCAUCGGAGAGUUCCGUUGAAGAACUUGAGAGAGAAAGCAUUGCAGAUGCUAUUACAAUAUUGCUUAAUAUGCAGGUUAGAGCAAACCGCUAAAUGAAAUGUAUAAGUGAAUGAUAGAAGAGACAUGGGCUGGAUAGCGUAUUGAGCUAGAUGGUGGAAAUGAAAGGCAAUGUGCAGUCAUUGGGAGAUCAAGCUUGGAACACAUAGCAAAUUGUAUUCUUCCUUAAAGUGACAGUAACAAAUGUGAUCAUCAUCUUGUUCUGAUUCCAGUGCAACGGUUAUAAUUUCUUGCAGCGGGUUACCUCAACUCAGUGAAUGGCUGAGAGUUCAGUUCUUGAUGCACAUACUAGUGAAGCUCAAGAAUCUAACAGUUACCGGCACUAUGUGGCUUCAACAACCGAACGAGAUGGUGGGGCAAAUGCAAGGAAAAUAGAGAGCCGAGAGGCUAGUUGAGGAGGAAAAUAGAGAUAUGAAAUGCAAGGAAAUCAGAGUUUUCUUUAAGAUUCAAUUUGUUAAUGGACGUGUACCACAAUCUAUACCAGAAAUACAAGGGUUGGUGUGCGAGGACAUAACUGGGGGUCUAGAGGAUAUUGCCAUUCCAGCUAGCAAUUUGGUCGAUGAUCCGCCUGUUGCUCCUACAGGC